UCACAAAACCAUCAGACCCCUCUCUCUCUCUCUCGCGACUCAAGAAAACCAUGGCAGAUCUAUCACCAGACCCGUUUCAUGAGCAGAUCUGUGAGGAUUCAACCGCCUAUCCCCUCCUUGUUACGCUGCCUGAAUCGCGGCUUCUCCUUCAUUCCAGUAUGCAGGAUCAGCUUGGGACGAGCUCAAGCACAUAAGACAAGCUAUUGGGGUUCCUGGUUAUUUAUCAGAAGCCAAAGAAGACACUGGAUGAAAUAACUCACCAUUUGUGCCCAAUUCUUAGCAUACAACAGCUCUACAGAAUUGGGAUGACAAAUACGACACACAUAGUCUUUCUCCAGAUGUAAUUUCCAACAUGAGGGUGCUGAUGACUGAAUAUUCAAACAAUGCUGUCAGCAGCUCAUUUUUGCUGGAUGAUGAUUCAAGCAUACCAUUCUCUGUUGAUGACCUCUCCAAAUCAAUGCAUCAGAUCAAUAUAGCAGAUAUUGAGCCGCCACCACUUGUUCGUGAUAAUUCAGGUUUCAUUUUCUUAUUGUCACGUGCUGAAUCAUGAUCAUUCGGGUUUCAGUUCACUUAUAUGGAAGUUGACCUUUGAUGGUAGGUUUGAUUUUACCAACAUGCGUAGUGGUUUAGAUUAAAUUGUGUAAACAUCAUUCUUUCGAUAAUGCGGCAAAUGUGUUUUAACUAAGGUGUUGCCAGGUUCCAAGUUUGAUUACUGUUUGGAGUUGCUAUGUGUUGGAUGAUGCUUCUGAAACUCGAAGGUGGAGAUUGUUAUAUUGAGUUUUAGAAGUCUAGGGUGUUAAGAGUAAUAAUUGUGUUUGUUUUGUUGAAGUUGUUGAUAUUGGUUCUAUAUAUGAUUCAAUCAGGUUAAAUAAAUAUAUAGGCAAUCAGUAAAAGCUGAAUAACAGUCUAAAACAACCUAUAGCAUGUUUAAAAUAGCAAUAAUUUAUACUGUGUGUCUUGCUUAUCUCGGGCCCUUGAUUGGGUGUGCAUAUAGUAUUUGACUAUCCAUUUUUGAUGCACUUUAAUUUUGAAGAUGGUGAUAACAAUGUCAUUAUGCAUAUUUUGGGCAUAAUAUGUAGUAAAUUCUCUUAUUAAAUUAUCAACCUUUUUUUGUUUUUUUUAUUUGGUUUUAAGGAGACUGGAUUUGGUAUUUUUAUUGUCUGAAUCAUUCAGUGCAAUUUCCUUCUGCCGAACCUUGUUUAGAAUUAGUUACUGGAUAGACAAAGUAGAAAAGAUUUAGUUUUUUGUUGUUUGUGAUUAAAUUUUAUGAGGCUGGGUUCUGUUUAUUUUAUUUUCUAACAUUUGUUGCUUGUUACUUAAGUCACAGUUUGUGUCCAAAUGUUUUGGUUCAGCUGGUGUUGUAUGAUCAUUGUAAUUAUGGGUUCCCUCAUCUUAUGUUGUUUGCUAUGGAGAAUAUUCCUCCUAUGAGGAAACUUAGUCUUGAUUAUGGUGAUGCCGGUGAAUGGACCGGGAAAUUAGCUAUAUGUAACUAAAUCUACUUUGGCUCGUGGAUUUUAAACCUGAAUGAAGAUUCAGGGAUGCAUGAUGCAGAGGUAACUAACUGGUUUUUGUUUGAUGUGCUAUGCAUAGAGCUGGGUUAAU
Helianthus annuus (common sunflower) is the source of this 1602-nucleotide long non-coding RNA. RefSeq lists it as uncharacterized. The transcript has 6 exons. Lineage: Eukaryota; Viridiplantae; Streptophyta; Magnoliopsida; Asterales; Asteraceae. The record is from RefSeq and is a predicted model, not a curated record.